GGAGAGAUGGCUGAGCGGACUAAAGCGGCGGAUUGCUAAUCCGUUGUAUAAUUUUUUUGUACCGAGGGUUCGAAUCCCUAUCUUUCCG
Molecule: non-coding RNA, 88 nt
Organism: Triticum aestivum (bread wheat)
Lineage: Eukaryota; Viridiplantae; Streptophyta; Magnoliopsida; Poales; Poaceae
Source: Rfam